This 7522-nucleotide long non-coding RNA is filed under the name Octopus vulgaris (common octopus). The record is from RNAcentral. Lineage: Eukaryota; Metazoa; Mollusca; Cephalopoda; Octopoda; Octopodidae.
CACAUACAUACAUAUAUACAUACAUGUACAUAGACAAACAGACAGAAAACAAUCAUUAUGUACAAUGUUAUGUAUGAAUGAGGAAGUAAAACACUAUUAGUUAGAAUCAGAAACAAAGUUUUAAAUAUAAGUUUCAAUUUUUACUAACAUCACACCAGUCUAUUAUUAUUUUUUAUCACUUCAACCUUUUAUUACAGUUUUGUUGAUUCUCCCUCUCUUUCUCUCUGUAUAUAUAUAUAUAUAUAUAUAUAUAUAUAUAUAUUUAUGAUAGAUAGAUAGAUAGAUAGAUAGAUAGAUAAGAAGAUAUAUUACACAUGCUGUUUUUGAUUAAAGGUAAAUCCUAAAUGUUUUUCUUUUAAAUCAAGAAUUAUUCUUGCUGCACCUGUGCUCUCAUACAUACACGUGCAUCAUUCAUGUAUAACUAGAUAACUGGAUGCUGUAGUAAUGUAAGUAAAAUUAUUGGAAACAAAGAUUUCUAAUAAAUGCAAUAUUUUGAUGCAUGUAUUGCUUGCCAAUCUGUACUUUGCUAUCAAUUUGCAUAUAUGUUAAUGUUUGUGCGAGAGAGGGAGAGAGAGAGAGAGAGAGAGAGAGAGAGAGAGAGAGAGAGAGAGAUAACAGAAAAGAAGUUAGUGAACCUGAAGCUUUUACAGUUUUGUACAGACUUAUAAGAUGGAAAGCCAUCAGCCAUGAACUGUGUCUUUUAUAUAAAGUCUGUUGUGGCAAUAAUAAUGAUAGAUUUCAAAUAAGUUUAUUUCCUUAUUUUAUGUGAGUUACUUUUUUUUUUUUUUUGCUGUUUCAUUCUGUAUUUAUUUUUUUCAUUUUGCAAUGCAUGCUCAAAGGAAAGGUAAUGUCUUCCAUUGUCUGACAUUUCACAAUUAUCCACAGAUCUGAAUCGCUCUUAAUUUAUAUAAUCCUGCAAGUAUCAAAAUUUAAAAUUUUCAACUCCAAUAAUGUCUUGUAGUUUUUCAAACCACUUUUUUUUUUAUUACACUGCUCUCUUCUACUAAAACACAAAUAAAAGAGCAUGACUUUUUUAAAAUUCUUUUUCAAAGUGCAAGAGGAAGAAAAAAAAUGCUAGAAGUUGAGAAUUAAAUUUAAUAUACAUCAUACACAGAGCAGUAGAGGAGAUAGCUCAGACUAUAAAACACCAGAAUUAAUUUGUUACAUAAUUAUAUAAUUCCAUAUCUCAACUGUUCUGAGAUCAAAUAUCUCCAGGAUCCAGUUAGCGGUUAAUCUAGCUAGUCAAAAACAUUUAAUAAUAGUCUGAAUUAUUUCAACCAACAAUUACCCUCCCUUAUAAAAAUUGGCCUUGUGUCUUGGCAAAUAUACACUUUUUUGAUAUAUAUAUAUAUUUUUAUAUAUAUAUAUCUUUUUUUUAAAGUUUUUUUUUCUGGUUGCUUUUUAAAAAAUAUAACAUCUAUAUUAGGGUACAAGGAAAUAUAUCACAUAACCCCAAAUAACAAUCUCAAAGCAAUUUUUUUUUAGUCUUUUAAUUACUGAAUUAUCUCAGCAAAUUGGCAGAUUGAAAAGAAAAAAUGAGUGGAUGGCAGUUCACUAAACAAUAUACUGUCUAUACAAAUACAAAUCAUACCAACAAUAAAACAUAUCAGGUUAAACAAUACAGAGGUGAUAAAACUUCUGGCCAUUGAGAAUAGAUGGUGAUAACAGAUACCAAAAUUCUGGUAUGGUGUUUAGCAAGGAUGAAUGGAUGAUAUAUAAAAUGUAAUAUAUUAUACAAUAAACCCUCAAAUCAAUGGACUAAUUAGAGGGGAAGUAUGUCCAUUAAUACUGAAAGUUUGUUAAAGGGGCUAAUGUUACUGCUUUUAAUGUAAAAAAAAAAAUCUUUGAAACAAUGUAAAAUGUAAAAUUAUUAAAUCAUGUUAAAGAAUACAUAGUUUCUAUAUUCUUAUUUUGUCAAUGAAGUCUACUUUGCCAUGCUCAAAGUGGUAGUAUUGUUUUGUAUUAUCAUUAUUAUAAUUCAGUCUUUAAACCAGACAUUUAUAUCAAGGGUCUGUUAAACAAAGGGCUUACUGUUUAAGCAUUUGGGUGUACAAACAGAAAAGUCCUCAAUGUUGUAGAGUUUAUUCAUUUAUUCAGAGCUGAGAUUUCACUCCAGUGUUAUUUUUCCGGUUAUUAUUACUUCCCCACAAACCCUCAGUUUUGAAUAAUGAAUAUAUAUUCCAGGAAGCAACAAGUUCAAAGAAGCUUUGUCUGGCCACUUAGAAUAAAGUAUUCAAUGAGACUGCAGAGUGAAUAAAAUAUUUAAUAUAUAAACAUUAGUCUGACAAAAUAUAUUCUGUCAGGCAAAUGAUUAUGGAUUAAAUAUCUUAAAUAUAUAUAUGUGUAUACAUUUAAAUACACACAUGCAUGUGUUCAUAUUUUUUAAUCAAAAUUAAAUGUAUUAAUACAAAUAUUAUUGGCAUGAGAUACGCAAGAACCUGAUGUAACUAACCUCUCACUGACAUCAUAAUGUAAGGACUAUGAUACAUGUCCUCUAGGGUAUCGUUAUACCAGCACACACACAUUUUGAGAUUGUUUUGGGUCAUUGUGCACGUACAGUUUGUCUUACCUUAUGUUUUUUCUUGACUUCAUCUUGAUUAAACUGUGAAAUCUCAUCUCUUACUGAAUAAUGCUAACAGUGGUGACUUUGACCAUAAAUUGUUAUAAGGAACUCUAUCUGAAGCUUAGUUUGUGAUAUAUAAAUUUAGCACUUAAAUCUACUUUGUUGAACAAGGACUAGUAUUGAUUAUUUAAGCUCUUCUUUUUCUUCAGUAGGAUUUUGCCAUUUUAAGUUGUUUAUAUUUUAUUUGUAUUUUAAGUAAUGUAUUUUAAUGUUUCCAUUUACACAUUUAUAUUAUGAAUACAAAUAUUUUUGCAUAUUCCCAAACAGAAGUAGAUUAUAUUUUUUAAUCUGAUACCAUUGGUUGUAGUGAUCCUGCCUGAAGGUGUCAAAAUGAUGAGGAUAUCUGAAUGGCAGCUGAUAAAGGAAAUUCCCCAGUUAUGUAAAGUGUGCUUUUCAUUCAUUAAUGUCUUUGCUAAUUGUCACUAUAUGGAUUGUUUUACAUAUCUAAGAUAGUACUGGUCCUUACCUUUUAAUGUUCAUUGUUACAGUUUCUCCUGACCCUUGUAUAACAGAUUUGAACACACACACACACGUGUAAGCGAAAUACAGAGCACUAUAGCUCAGGCUAAUUUUAAUUAUAAAAUAAGUAGUAAAAUAUUAAUGAGUUGAAGGAAAUGUUUACAAAUUGUAAUGGAAGAAUACGUUGAAGAACAUCAGUUGAAAAGAUUAGAAAUGGUUCUGGCAGAAAAUGUGAAGUGAUUGAAAAAAACAAAAAAAAGUAAAGACAAUAUGUGACUAAGACAGAAAUCUUUUAAGUAAAAUGCAAGCUAUAAUACACACAUCUGAAUUUCUUUUCACAAUUGAAAAGAAUGAGAAUUAUGUAUUUUCUAUAUCUCUUAUAAUGAGGACAGAUGAAAAUCUACCUAGUGCAUCAGUGCAAACAACCUCUUUCAUCUUUUUAAUAAAUCCUCAACAAAUAAUCUUAGAUUUAGGAAGAUUUAUUUUAUUUAUGUGAAACCUUUAAAUCUUAUAUAUGUGGAAUAUAUAAGUCUAUACAUACAUGUAAAUCAUGAAUAUAUACCUAUGUAUGUAUUAAUCUUAUAUAUUAUGUGGUAUGUAUAAAUCUAUAUAUACAUGUAAAUCAUAAAUAUACAUAUUGUAUGUAUCAAUUUUAUAUAUUACGUGUUAUGUAUAAAUCUAUACUACAUGUAAAUCAUAUAUAUAUAUAGAUAGAUAGAUAGGUAGGUAGAUAGAUAGGUAGGUAGAUAGAUAGGUAGGUAGAUAGAUAGAUAGGUAGAUACACCAUUUUACAAAUGAUUACUACUUAAAUUUUAAAAAGUGAGAAUGUAGACUGUCUGUUAAGUUAGAUAAAUUCAAAGGAAAUAACUUAAUAGAAAAAUCACUUCUAUUUCCUUAAACUUCAGCAACAAAACUUUAUAGUUCUUAUGAAAAACACACAAUUAUUAGCUUAUAUUCAUUAAAUGACCUUAGUCUUGAACUAAACCCAGUCAAUACAAAUAGGUUUCAAUUUAAACUUAGGCAUUCAACAUAAAAUUAAGUUUCUACCUUAUCUAAAAUAAAUCUGCAAUGUUCAGUAAGCUUAUAUUUCAUCGUUGCUUUAAAUUUUCUUUUCUUAAAUCAUGGAAACCAAAGUCUUUGUCAUGGUAUGUUAAUCUAAAUAGUAUACAUUAUUUAGUUGAUACUUAGCAGUUCUAUGUGUAAUGUCUAACCCUUACAAUGAUCUAACCUAGUGGUUCUCAAUGGCCUUUUAUAAAUGACUUCACCUCAUAUUUUGCAGUAAAAAAAAGUCAGAUUAUUUUAGUCUAUAAGAUGCUAACUUUGUGCAGUAGAUUAGCAUCUAUAUUUUAUUUUACUAUUCCAUCCAGCAUAUAUCUUACCUAUGCAAAACAAGACAAAUUUUACUAUGUCUCUGCAGAUUGAAAAAUGAUGAACCUUAAUGUUCAAACCUUUCUGGAUUCUCAGAGGUGACUACAUCAAUUUGAUCUACUCUAGAGAAGCAAGCCACCAAUGUGUUUAUUUACUCAACAAAUCCAGUAGCUACAGAGAAUUGGUGUUACUCCCAACUAAAUUUUUAUGUAAUUACUAAAAAAGAUGAAGACUUAUAUGGGGAAACUUGAGGCAUUAUCAGUUAUAUUUCUAUCCGCUGAAAACAUAAUGUCCUACAUAUUCUAAGCUGACAAAUUAAACUACAAGUAUCAAACCUGUACCUUAAGUACAGCCUCUUUAAAUACUGUGUUCCCUUGACAAAUUAAACUACAAGUAUCGUACCUGCACCUUAAGUACAGCCUCUUUAAAUACUGUGUUCCCUUGACAAAUUAAACUACAAGUAUCGUACCUGCACCUUAAGGGCAGCCUCUUUAAAUACUGUGUUCCCUUGACAAAUUAAACUACAAGUAUCGUACCUGUACCUUAAGUACAGCCUCUUUAAAUACUCUGUGUUCCCAUGACACUUUUUACCCCAAAAGAGCACUGCUAUCCAAGUUAACCCUUUUCAUACCAACCAGACAGAGACUGCUUCUGAUUUUAUGAUAUAAAUUUUUUAUUUUGACUCAUUAGAUUUCAGAUUGUUUUGAAUUAAUUAUGCUUUAUCUCACGGCUUCAAGAUUUUGAUGAUGUGGAUGCUAUUUUUGGAAUGACUGGGUAGAGUAAGUGUAAGAGACCAGAUCUGGCCAGUUUGAACAUAAAACACAAAACAUUUGAGUAAUGAUAGUUAUUUCAUUAAAUUCAUUGUUUUCAAAAUAAAUUGAAACACAGGCUGUGUAUUCAGAAGAGAUAUAGUAAAGAAUGGGCUAAUCUGUCUUUUCAAUUAUCUGGUACCAAUAAGUUCAUCUUACUGUAUUAGGAUAAAAUGAAUGACUGUAAACUGAAGGGACUAAUCACCACUAGAUUGUGAGUUUAAACUAUAUUACAGCCAGCCAUCAUACUAUGACUUAUUUUUACUUGUCAGAAUCAAUCUAGCUAAAGUUAAAUAAAUGUUCUAUUUCAACAUUAUACCCAUUACUUAAAACAUUAGUUCAAACAAUUCAUUGGCAAACACUCAAUCCUGCAAAAAAAAAAAACCAAAAAAAAAAACAAGCUAAGAUUUCUAUUUUCCUUUCUGAACUAAUACCAAUGGGUUGAGAAUAAGAUAAUUAUUCCAGUAACUUAAUGAAAUAUCUCAAUGUCAAACAAACCUAAUCUAAUUUGAGUCAUGUUAAUAUCUUCAGUAGUUUAGUAGACAGAGUUCGUUUGUAUUCCCUUCAAAGUGACAAAACCAACAGAUAAUAAGAAUAACAAAGAAUGCUAAUCUUAAUCAAAUUAUCUGUCAUAAAGUUAUUCUUCAAUGGCCAUUUUAAUUGAUAGCUUUACAUGGUCAGUGUGUGUGUGUAUGUAUACAUGUUAUUUUUCACCAAAUCACCAUCAAAAUUGCUAUUUGUCAUCACCAUAAUCAUUAGCAUUAUCAUCAUAGUAACUACUCUUUCCAACUGAAGAUGAGGAUUUAAAACAUGUAUGUCUGUGUGUAUGUGUAACUCAUGCAAGGACUAAAUAUAUUUGACAGUUAUAUAAUUUAACAAAACCAAAAAAAAUUCCUCUCAAAAAAAAACCCUGUAGCUUUGGAAAUCUUGGGUAAAAUGAUAGAAUUGGAUAUAUUUGACUUAUGUACAUAUUUUAGUUGCAUAAAGAAUAUCAGUAAAAUAAACUGGGACCAAUAAAAGCACAGAGUAAAAUGAGAAUGUGAAAUUUUAAAUGUUAAUUUUGGCGUUUGCUAUUUUAAAGGAAUUUUAAGAAUAACAACAGAAUAUUUACUGAUGGGAAUGGUGACUCAAUACUAAAAGUAAAGUGAAGUUUAUAUAAAAUUAGUUUUCACUGGGACUUGUGUCUGAUGGAUUAUUCAACCAGAUGGAAAUUUUUUUCUAAUGUUUACAUAGAUAGAUAAUAGAAAGUUUUGUUAUAAGAAAAGAGUGUUAAGGUCAUAAUUACAAUUGCCUUUUCAUCUUUAAUUUGUUUCAGCCACUGGUUCGUGAUCAUACUGGGGCACGGCCUUGAAUGGUUUAAUCAAACAAACUAACUCCAGUACCUAUUUUAAAUCUGGUACUUAUUCUACUGGUCUUGUUUGCAGAACUGCCAACUUACAGGGAUGUAAACAAACCAAUAUCAGUUGUCAAGUGAUGAUGAGGGGACAAAUGCUAACACACAGAUACAUACAAUGGGCUUCGCCCCAGUUUCAUCAUUUUACGUCCGCACUCCAUGCUGUCAUGGGUUGGACGGUUUGACAGGAUCAAGUGAGCUGCAAGGUUGCAUCAAGCUCUAAUGUCAGCCUCUAUCCAACAAAUUCACUCACAAGGCAUUGCUCAGCCCAGGGCUGUAGUAGAAAUCACUGAGCCAUGGUGCUGUGCAGUGGGACUGAACCUGAAACUAUGCAAUUGCAAAAAAAGCUUCUUAACCAGAGAGUCAUGCCUGAAAAAUUCUAAAGGAAAAAGAAUGUAUUGUAUUAUUUAAGAGUAAAGUUCUGGUACCAGAACUUUUCUCUUACUUAUAGAAUUUUCCCCACAAUUGAAAUUUAUCAUCUUAACACCUUUUUCUUAUAACAAAGUUUUCCAUUUUCUCUCAAUAGAAACAUUAAAAAGUGAAAUUUUACUACUCAAGAGCCUGUAAAGUAAACCAACAAAGGAGCACAAAUAAUUCAUUGGCCAAAGAGGUAUUUUUUCUUCUCCCAAAUACCAGACAAAGUGCCUCAAAACAUAAAGAGGUAGUCAAGUGUAGUUUGAAUAGUAAGUUGAUGAUUGCAUGCUUUAAGCAUACUGCAUCUACUUCUAUUAUUUUUCGCUGUUAGCAAAUUUUUUUUUUAACUUAUUAAAAUAUACAUACAUCAUUGAAAGAGAAAACUGCUUGGAAGAUAAUAAAAAUAAAGGGUUGUCAAUUUUUUAAUAUAUAUAUAUAUAUAUACACAUAUAUAUA